GACGAACGCUGGCGGCGUGCUUAACACAUGCAAGUCGAACGGAAAGGCCCUGCCUUUGUGGGGUGCCCGAGUGGCGAACGGGUGAGUAACACGUGAGUAACCUGCCCUUGACUUUGGGAUAACCUCAGGAAACUGGGGCUAAUACCGGAUAGGUGUUCUUGCCGCAAGGUGUGGGUUGGAAAGUUUCGGCGGUUGGGGAUGGACGCGCGGCUUAUCAGCUCGUUGGUUGGGUAGUGGCUUACCAAGGCUUUGACGGGUAGCCGGCCUGAGAGGGUGACCGGCCACAUGGGGACUGCGAUACGGCGCAGACUCCUACGGGAGGCAGCAGUGGAGAGUAUUGCGCAAUGAGCGGAAGCCAGAUGCAACGGCGCCGCGUGCGGAAUAACGGCCUUCGGGUUAUGAACCACUUUCGCCUGUGACGAGGCGUGAGUGACGGUAAUGGGUAAAAAAGCACCGGCUAACUACGUG
RNAcentral lists this ribosomal RNA (468 nucleotides) under uncultured bacterium. RNAcentral's name for it is "partial 16S ribosomal RNA". It matches the Rfam family "Bacterial small subunit ribosomal RNA", at positions 28 to 507 of the family's 1533-position model. The record is from RNAcentral.